This 245-nucleotide unclassified non-coding RNA is filed under the name Hevea brasiliensis (rubber tree). Lineage: Eukaryota; Viridiplantae; Streptophyta; Magnoliopsida; Malpighiales; Euphorbiaceae. The record is from RNAcentral.
AUAGAUGAGUGAAUGAGUUUGGGUAAAGAAUUUCAACAGAAAAUCCUGCUAAAAACAUGCCAAAAAAGAAAGCAAUAUUUCUUCAGAUCUUUCUCUACAAAAAACUGUCCUCAACAGAUAAUAAAAUACUUGAAUCUCUUUGUAUCUGAAACUAACAAUAAAUGCAGUAUUAUAAUCUCUACAUGUUCUUUCAAUAACCCCGGCACUCUUCCAAGCUGCAAAUGGGGGAUUUGGAGGAGCCUCAA